ACGUUAAAACUUUAGAAUCAGGUGGGAGGUGGUGGUAGUCACAGAACAAAUGGUCAAAACAAAGAUCUUACAAGGUUAGAAGCAUAGGACUUUAUGUUAGGCCAUAUUCACCCCAAUCCUGGGCAUGUGUAGUUUGCUAUUUGGUUUUCCUGGCAAGCCUGAGAAGGUGGUGGUUAUACAUAUACAGUUCCGAGUCUCCAGGUCACACCUAUACCUCUAAGAGGAGCUGUUUAUUUCCCCAUCCCAGUGAACUGGUAACUCAAGUUGGAAACUGUGUCUCAUUCACAAUUACAGAUGACUUAAUAAUAACAACACGUAAAUCCCUAGAAAUAAGACUUCGAAGGAGGAUCAUCACUAUUAUUUACUCUACGCCUGCCCAAGACCUCCCUCAGUUCCUUGUCUGCAGGCCUAAACAUCUGAGCAGAGAAAAUAAAAGCAAAGAGUUCCCUAAAAUGCCACCAUACAGAAGGUUCAGUAUGACGAAAAUCACUCUCUUCCUGUCUCUGAAUGUGACUCCGUGA
Long non-coding RNA from Mus spicilegus (steppe mouse), 521 nucleotides. The record is from Ensembl. Lineage: Eukaryota; Metazoa; Chordata; Mammalia; Rodentia; Muridae.